This 600-nucleotide ribosomal RNA is filed under the name uncultured bacterium. Its description in RNAcentral is "bacterial SSU rRNA". It matches the Rfam family "Bacterial small subunit ribosomal RNA", at positions 84 to 657 of the family's 1533-position model. The record is from RNAcentral.
GUUAGCAGAAAGUGGCGAACGGGUGAGUAACGCGUGGGUAAUCUACCCUGUUAAGUGGGGGAUAACCCUCCGAAAGGAGGGCUAAUACCGCAUAAUAUCUUCUCCUCUAAAAGAGGUAAAGAUUAAAGAUGGCCUCUAUACUAUGCUAUCACUUCAGGAUGAGCCCGCGUCCUAUUAGUUAGUUGGUGGGGUAAUGGCCUACCAAGACCACAAUGGGUAGCCGGUCUGAGAGGAUGUACGGCCACACUGGGACUGAGAUACGGCCCAGACUCCUACGGGAGGCAGCAGUGGGGAAUAUUGCGCAAUGGGGGAAACCCUGACGCAGCGACGCCGCGUGGAUGAUGAAGGCCCUUGGGUUGUAAAAUCCUGUUCUGGGGGAAGAAAGCUUAAAGGUCCAAUAAACCCUUAAGUCUGACGGUACCCCAAGAGAAAGCUCCGGCUAAUUAUGUGCCAGCAGCCGCGGUAAUACAUAAGGAGCAAGCGUUAUCCGGAAUUAUUGGGCGUAAAGAGCUCGUAGGCGGUCUUAAAAGUCAGUUGUGAAAUUAUCAGGCUCAACCUGAUAAGGUCAUCUGAAACUUUAAGACUUGAGGUUAGAAGAGG